AUGAUCGAGGUGGUGCUGAACGACAGGCUGGGGAAGAAGGUGCGGGUGAAGUGCAACGAGGACGACACCAUCGGCGACCUGAAGAAGCUCGUCGCGGCGCAGACGGGGACCAGGCCCGAGAAGAUCCGCAUCCAGAAGUGGUACACCAUCUACAAGGACCACAUCACCCUCGGCGACUACGAGAUCCACGACGGCAUGGGCCUCGAGCUCUACUACAACUAG
Molecule: ribosomal RNA, 222 nt
Filed under: Triticum aestivum (bread wheat)
Lineage: Eukaryota; Viridiplantae; Streptophyta; Magnoliopsida; Poales; Poaceae
Description: partial small subunit ribosomal RNA
Source: RNAcentral